CCGCGCUGAGAGUCAAACCGGUUCAGCUCACUUCCUCAUAACUGUUUGUCGCAGCGUGGAGCCUUUCUUUCUCCGCUUUUUAAACCUUUCACCUGAUUAACUUUUAUAAGGAUAAAGGUUAAAGUGUUUUAUAAACACUAUAACCUCAGUUUCUUACCUUACAUUUAUACUUUUAUUAGGCUACUUUAUACCGUAUGGACGCAUUUUAAUCACGGAAGAGAUACGAUAAGGUCUCCAGUCUACUAUGGAUGAGGAGAGAGAGGAGGGGGGUCCUACCUCUAAGACCACCCUGUCUGGGGAACAUGGCCGCCGGAGCAAAGCUAAGAGCCCAGAGCAGAGAGCAGACUCCCCUGGACCCAGCUGUGUCUCCAUGAAGAGUGACAGCUCUAUGGAACAACCUCAUAACUUUAAAGAUGGAAAUCAGUCUAUUGAGAAGAGAAGAGUCCAGCAGGAGAGAGCAGACUCCCCUGGACCCAGCUGUGUCUCCAUGAAGAGUGGCUGGUCUAUGGAUAUACCAUUGGUGUUUAAAGAUGGACGCCCCCCCAGAGAGGAGAGCCCAGAGCAGCAGCAGAAAGCAGACUCCCCUGGACCCAGCUGUGUCUCCAU
Molecule: long non-coding RNA, 606 nt
Organism: Gadus morhua (Atlantic cod)
Lineage: Eukaryota; Metazoa; Chordata; Actinopteri; Gadiformes; Gadidae
Exons: 5
Source: RefSeq, a predicted model, not a curated record